Molecule: ribosomal RNA, 704 nt
Filed under: Escherichia sp.
Lineage: Bacteria; Pseudomonadati; Pseudomonadota; Gammaproteobacteria; Enterobacterales; Enterobacteriaceae
Description: bacterial SSU rRNA
Rfam family: Bacterial small subunit ribosomal RNA
Source: RNAcentral
AACACAUGCAAGUCGAACGGUAACAGGAAGCAGCUUGCUUCUUUGCUGACGAGUGGCGGACGGGUGAGUAAUGUCUGGGAAACUGCCUGAUGGAGGGGGAUAACUACUGGAAACGGUAGCUAAUACCGCAUAACGUCGCAAGACCAAAGAGGGGGACCUUCGGGCCUCUUGCCAUCGGAUGUGCCCAGAUGGGAUUAGCUGUGGUGGGGUAACGGCUCACCUAGGCGACGAUCCCUAGCUGGUCUGAGAGGAUGACCAGCCACACUGGAACUGAGACACGGUCCAGACUCCUACGGGAGGCAGCAGUGGGGAAUAUUGCACAAUGGGCGCAAGCCUGAUGCAGCCAUGCCGCGUGUAUGAAGAAGGCCUUCGGGUUGUAAAGUACUUUCAGCGGGGAGGAAGGGAGUAAAGUUAAUACCUUUGCUCAUUGACGUUACCCGCAGAAGAAGCACCGGCUAACUCCGUGCCAGCAGCCGCGGUAAUACGGAGGGUGCAAGCGUUAAUCGGAAUUACUGGGCGUAAAGCGCACGCAGGCGGUUUGUUAAGUCAGAUGUGAAAUCCCCGGGCUCAACCUGGGAACUGCAUCUGAUACUGGCAAGCUUGAGUCUCGUAGAGGGGGGUAGAAUUCCAGGUGUAGCGGUGAAAUGCGUAGAGAUCUGGAGGAAUACCCGGUGGCGAAGGCGGCCCCCUGGACGAAGACUACG